GAUGAAGAACGCAGCGAAAUGCGAUACGUAAUGUGAAUUGCAGAAUUCAGUGAAUCAUCGAAUCUUUGAACGCACAUUGCGCCUGCCAGCCCUCUGGCAGGCAUGCCUGUUCGAGCGUCAUUUCAACCAUCAAGCCCUAGGCUUGCGUUGGAGCCCUGCGGCUGCCGCAGGCCCCUAAAAGCAGUGGCGGGCUCGCUAUCACACCGAGUGCAGUAGAUUACUCUUCGCUCAGGGCGUGUGGCGGGUUCCAGCCGUGAAACCCCCUACUUCUCAAGGUUGACCUCGGAUCAGGUAGGAAUACCCGCUGAACUUAAGCAUAUCAAUAAGCGGAGGA
This 334-nucleotide unclassified non-coding RNA is filed under the name soil metagenome. RNAcentral's name for it is "partial contains 5.8S ribosomal RNA, internal transcribed spacer 2, and large subunit ribosomal RNA". The stretch from base 1 to 120 matches the Rfam family "5.8S ribosomal RNA", at positions 35 to 154 of the family's 154-position model. The record is from RNAcentral.